RNAcentral lists this transfer RNA (68 nucleotides) under Endoclita minanus. RNAcentral's name for it is "tRNA-Asn". Lineage: Eukaryota; Metazoa; Arthropoda; Insecta; Lepidoptera; Hepialidae. The record is from RNAcentral.
UUAAUUGAAACCAAAAUUAGAGGUAUAUUAUUGUUAAUAAUAUAAUUGAAAAUAAAUUUCCAAUUAAA